UGAGCUACUACGAAAUACCAUGUGCAA
Molecule: non-coding RNA, 27 nt
Filed under: Homo sapiens (human)
Lineage: Eukaryota; Metazoa; Chordata; Mammalia; Primates; Hominidae
Source: RNAcentral